CACGUAGGAGGCAAACGUUAUCCGGAUUUAUUGGGCGUAAAGCGCGUGUAGGUGGUUCUGUAAGUAGGGCGUGAAAGCUCCCGGCUCAACUGGGAGAUGCCGUUCUAAACUGCAGAGCUAGAGGAUGGUAGAGGGAGGUGGAAUUCCAGGUGUAGCGGUGGAAUGCGCAGAUAUCUGGAGGAACACCAGUGGCGAAGGCGGCCUCCUGGACCAUUCCUGACACUCAGACGCGAAAGCUAGGGUAGCAAACGGGAUUAGAUACCCG
This 265-nucleotide ribosomal RNA is filed under the name uncultured prokaryote. Its description in RNAcentral is "partial 16S ribosomal RNA". It matches the Rfam family "Bacterial small subunit ribosomal RNA", at positions 524 to 789 of the family's 1533-position model. The record is from RNAcentral.